Molecule: ribosomal RNA, 379 nt
Filed under: uncultured eukaryote
Lineage: Eukaryota
Description: partial 18S ribosomal RNA
Rfam family: Eukaryotic small subunit ribosomal RNA
Source: RNAcentral
CAAUAGCGUAUAUUUAAGUUGUUGCAGUUAAAAAGCUCGUAGUUGGAUUUCGGAUGGGACUUGCCGGUCCGUCGUUUCGAUGUGCACUGGCCAGUCCUAUCUUGUUGUCGGGGACUAACUCCUGGGCUUCACUGUCCGGGACUAGGAGCUGACGAGGUUACUUUGAGUAAAUUAGAGUGUUCAAAGCAAGCCUACGCUCUGAAUACAUUAGCAUGGAAUAACACGAUAGGACUCUGGCUUAUCUUGUUGGUCUGUGAGACCAGAGUAAUGAUUAAGAGGGACAGUCGGGGGCAUUCGUAUUUCAUUGUCAGAGGUGAAAUUCUUGGAUUUAUGAAAGACGAACUUCUGCGAAAGCAUUUGUCAAGGAUGUUUUCAUUAA